Molecule: ribosomal RNA, 253 nt
Filed under: uncultured bacterium
Lineage: Bacteria
Description: partial 16S ribosomal RNA
Rfam family: Bacterial small subunit ribosomal RNA
Source: RNAcentral
UACGGAGGGUGCAAGCGUUGUCCGGAUUUAUUGGGCUUAAAGGGUGCGUAGGCGGCUAAUUAAGUCAGCGGUGAAAUUCCACAGCUCAACUGUGGAACUGCCAUUGAUACUGGUUGGCUUGAGUACAGAUGAGGUAGGCGGAAUUGACAGUGUAGCGGUGAAAUGCUUAGAUAUUGUCAAGAACACCUAUUGCGAAGGCAGCUUACUAAGCUGUAACUGACGCUGAGGCACGAAAGCGUGGGGAUCAAACAGG